This is a non-coding RNA of Pelobates cultripes (western spadefoot toad), 569 nucleotides long. Lineage: Eukaryota; Metazoa; Chordata; Amphibia; Anura; Pelobatidae. The record is from the annotation of a GenBank genome assembly.
AUGAACUCCCUGAUUGAUAAAUACUUUGAAGCACCGGGUAUUACUACUCUAACUCAGAACUAUUGUAGAUCUUGUGCAAUUUGUGCUAAAUGUAACCCCGGGAAGAUUGUUAAAACUGUACCCAAUCACUUGGCCAAACCACAAUAUCCCUUCCAGAGUAUACAGAUUGACCAUAUCCAGAUGCCAAAGAGUGGACGCUAUGAAUACGCAUUAUUAGUCAUUGUAGACAUUUUCUCAGGAUGGCCAGAAGCCUUCACAAUCUUACUGCAAGAACUACAGCCAAACAUCUUCUGACGGAAAUUGUUUGCCGGUAUGGUGUCCCAGAAGUGAUUAAAAGUGACCAAGGAACCUCCUUUACCGCCUCAUUGACACAGGAAGUCUGGGCAGCACUGGGGGUGACCCUUGCCUUCCACACACCAUACCACCCACAGAGUAGUGGUAAGGUAGAACGCAUGAAUGGCACAUUGAAGGCCAGAAUGCUUAAGAUGUCCCAAGAAACUAACAUGCCCUGGCCUGAGAGUCUUCCAUUAGCAUUGUGUGGGGAUAUUUAUGGGAUAAUAAUAGUAAAC